GUCUAGCCCAGAUAGCAGUGAAAAUCCUUUUGAUUUUUUCUUUAAAAAGCAAAAGAUUGAAACGCAUAGCUGGAAAUAGC
RNAcentral lists this small RNA (80 nucleotides) under Flavobacterium urumqiense. RNAcentral's name for it is "Flavo-1 RNA". It matches the Rfam family "Flavo-1 RNA". The record is from RNAcentral. Lineage: Bacteria; Pseudomonadati; Bacteroidota; Flavobacteriia; Flavobacteriales; Flavobacteriaceae.